GGGUAAGUGUGGGGCAGGACUGGAGAGAAGGAGAUAUAACACACAGGAUUCCCAUUAUUGUGACAGGAAAUGAUUUUUCAACAAUGUAUGCUCCUCUAAUUCGUGAUGGGAGAAUGGAGAAGUUCUAUUGGCAGCCCACCCAAGAAGACAUCGUGAAUAUUGUUUGCAGAAUGUACGAGAAAGAUGGCAUAACAAAGGAUGAGGUUGCGACUAUUGUUAAUACCUUCCCAAAUCAAGCAUUGGAUUUUUAUGGAGCUAUGAGAUCUAGAACAUACGACCAGUCCAUCUUAAAGUGGGUUGAAGACUCCGGAGGUGCUGAAGAUAUUGGCAGAAGAUUUCUUCGACAAAGAAAGAAGGGAGAACUCCCAGUUUUUAUUCCUCCAGAGCAAACACUGGAAGCCUUAAUUGAAUCGGGACACUCUCUCACGAAAGAACAAAUGCUGAUUAUGGAGAGCAAACUCUCAAAAGAAUACAUGAAGAACAUGGAUGAAGAAUAGUAUGG
Molecule: unclassified non-coding RNA, 502 nt
Filed under: Hevea brasiliensis (rubber tree)
Lineage: Eukaryota; Viridiplantae; Streptophyta; Magnoliopsida; Malpighiales; Euphorbiaceae
Source: RNAcentral